CCUACGGGUGGCAGCAGUGGGGAAUAUUGCGCAAUGGGCGAAAGCCUGACGCAGCGACGCCGCGUGAGGGAUGAAGGUCUUCGGAUCGUAAACCUCUGUCAGCAGGGAAGAACGGUCACUGUGCUAAUCAGCAGUGAAUUGACGGUACCUGCAAAGGAAGCACCGGCUAACUCCGUGCCAGCAGCCGCGGUAAUACGGAGGGUGCGAGCGUUAAUCGGAAUUACUGGGCGUAAAGCGCUCGUAGGCGGUAUGUCAAGUCAAGGGUGAAAUCCCCGCGCUCAACGUGGGAACUGCCUUUGAAACUGGCAAACUGGAGGUUGUGAGAGGAUAGUGGAAUUCCAGGUGUAGGAGUGAAAGCCGUAGAUAUCUGGAGGAACAUCAGUGGCGAAGGCGACUAUCUGGCACAUAACUGACGCUGAGGAGCGAAAGCGUGGGUAGCAAACAGGAUUAGAUACCCCGGUAGUC
This 465-nucleotide ribosomal RNA is filed under the name uncultured bacterium. RNAcentral describes it as "partial 16S ribosomal RNA". It matches the Rfam family "Bacterial small subunit ribosomal RNA", at positions 338 to 795 of the family's 1533-position model. The record is from RNAcentral.